RNAcentral lists this ribosomal RNA (500 nucleotides) under uncultured bacterium. RNAcentral describes it as "partial 16S ribosomal RNA". It matches the Rfam family "Bacterial small subunit ribosomal RNA", at positions 28 to 523 of the family's 1533-position model. The record is from RNAcentral.
AUUGAACGCUGGCGGAAUGCUUUACACAUGCAAGUCGAGCGGCAGCGCGGGGCAACCUGGCGGCGAGCGGCGAACGGGUGAGUAAUGCAUCGGAACAUGUCCAGUCGUGGGGGAUAGCCCGCCGAAAGGCGGAUUAAUACCGCAUACGCCCGGGAGGGGAAAGCGGGGGACCUGAAAGGGCCUCGCGCGAUUGGGUUGGCCGAUGUCCGAUUAGCUAGUUGGCGGGGUAAAGGCCCACCAAGGCGAUGAUCGGUAGCUGGUCUGAGAGGAUGAUCAGCCACACUGGGACUGCGACACGGCCCAGACCCCUACGGGAGGCAGCAGUGGGGAAUUUUGGACAAUGGGGGCAACCCUGAUCCAGCCAUUCCGCGUGAGUGAAGAAGGCCUUCGGGUUGUAAAGCUCUUUCGGCCGGGAAGAAAUCGCAUCUCCUAAUACGGGGUGUGGAUGACGGUACCGGAAUAAGAAGCACCGGCUAACUACGUGCCAGCCGCCGCCGUAA